This 109-nucleotide small nuclear RNA is filed under the name Salvator merianae (Argentine black and white tegu). Lineage: Eukaryota; Metazoa; Chordata; Lepidosauria; Squamata; Teiidae. The record is from RNAcentral.
AUCCCAAUUUCACAGUGGCACAUGUAGUAAAAUUGGAAUGAUACAAAGAGGAUUACCAUGACCCCUGUGCAAGGAUGACAUGCAAGUUUGUGAAGCAUUCCCUUUUUUU